UACGGGGGGGGCAAGCGUUGUUCGGAAUUACUGGGCGUAAAGGGCUCGUAGGUGGCCAACUAAGUCAUACGUGAAAUCCCUCGGCUUAACCGGGGAACUGCGUCUGAUACUGGAUGGCUUGAGGUUGGGAGAGGGAUGCGGAAUUCCAGGUGUAGCGGUGAAAUGCGUAGAUAUCUGGAGGAACACCGGUGGCGAAGGCGGCAUCCUGGACCAACACUGACGCUGAGUGAGCGAAAGCCGGGGGAGCAAACGGG
RNAcentral lists this ribosomal RNA (254 nucleotides) under uncultured bacterium. Its description in RNAcentral is "partial 16S ribosomal RNA". It matches the Rfam family "Bacterial small subunit ribosomal RNA", at positions 524 to 776 of the family's 1533-position model. The record is from RNAcentral.